CGUUAUCAGGGYUUAAUUGCAUUGUCGCAGAACACGAAAACAACAGUUCCACAGUGCCGAAAGAGUUYGAGGAUCUCAACSAAGUUAUAAAGCCAUAAAAGCCUGAUGCGAAUGCAAAAUUAAAGUGAACCAAGAUGAAUACAAAUCAAGCCGUAGCUGUUUUCGCUGUACUGUCUCUUCUGAUUUUAUGCACUUUCUCUACUACGCAUGCUCGAAGUAGCGAUGGRUUUUUGAAGGAUUUUCUUAAUAACGAUGAAGAGGAUCAACUUCUCAAAAGACAACAGCGACUACGACUCCCAUGUGGRUUGACCUUGAGAUGCGGAAGAAGAAGACGAAUGAGAUCAAGGAAAGGCGAUUCUGUUCCUAUACCGCCGGAGUAUUCUAACAGUAUGGAAUAGCACCAAACAACAUACCAAAAUCAAAAAUACAACAUCGUCAAAUGAACAAAAUAAACAUAUUUUUGAUCAACA
This is a long non-coding RNA of Exaiptasia diaphana, 470 nucleotides long. RefSeq lists it as uncharacterized. Lineage: Eukaryota; Metazoa; Cnidaria; Anthozoa; Actiniaria; Aiptasiidae. The record is from RefSeq and is a predicted model, not a curated record. The transcript has 3 exons.